RNAcentral lists this ribosomal RNA (404 nucleotides) under uncultured prokaryote. RNAcentral's name for it is "bacterial SSU rRNA". It matches the Rfam family "Bacterial small subunit ribosomal RNA", at positions 355 to 776 of the family's 1533-position model. The record is from RNAcentral.
UGGGGAAUAUUGCACAAUGGGCGAAAGCCUGAUGCAGCAACGCCGCGUGAGCGAUGAAGGCCUUCGGGUCGUAAAGCUCUGUCCUCAAGGAAGAUAAUGACGGUACUUGAGGAGGAAGCCCCGGCUAACUACGUGCCAGCAGCCGCGGUAAUACGUAGGGGGCGAGCGUUGUCCGGAAUGACUGGGCGUAAAGGGCGUGUAGGCGGUCUGAUAAGUCUGGAGUGAAAGUCCUGUUUUUAAGGUGGGAAUUGCUUUGGAUACUGUCGGACUUGAGUGCGGAAGAGGUAAGUGGAAUUCCCAGUGUAGCGGUGAAAUGCGUAGAGAUUGGGAGGAACACCAGUGGCGAAGGCGACUUACUGGGCCGUAACUGACGCUGAGGCGCGAAAGCGUGGGGAGCGAACAGG